Molecule: long non-coding RNA, 547 nt
Filed under: Canis lupus familiaris (dog)
Lineage: Eukaryota; Metazoa; Chordata; Mammalia; Carnivora; Canidae
Description: lncRNA (ENSCAFG00030014338.1)
Source: RNAcentral
AUGAAGCAAGGCAUCGCACCCAUCCCUUUUCCAGACUCUACUUAUAACCAACACAUGACUCCACUGACUGUUCACAAAGACCUCCUAGACGCCUGGCAUUCUGCUGGAUGCUGUCAGUGCAUGAUGAAGAAAAUCAACACCCACAAGAAGCUUAUACCAGGUAGAAACCGAGAAGAAUCUGAAAAAUUGAAUCACAACACGUCCGGUGGCAGCAAGCUGGAAGAGGAAAAGAAAAGACUCCCAGGAGCAUGAGUAGUAGUAAGAGAGGGAAGGCCUGUUGCUCAGCCCAUCAGGUGACUUUGUCGGUGACCCGGCAUUCCAGCAUCAGGCCCUAGGUCAAGUUCAGGAAGAAGGUAGUCAUGUGGCAUUUAGGCAUAUGGAGGUUGUUUAAGAAAGACCUUUGAUAAUGACAUCGUGGAGAGGUAUAGCCUGGUACCAACUACAUGCCUCCUGCUGUCUCCAAAAUUUGGCAGAAUGUCUAUGUUUGGCAAUUUCUAUAAAAUAAUAUAAAAUAUCCAAAAAUGCAUGUACGGCCAUACCACCCUGU